This 264-nucleotide ribosomal RNA is filed under the name uncultured archaeon. RNAcentral's name for it is "partial 16S ribosomal RNA". It matches the Rfam family "Archaeal small subunit ribosomal RNA", at positions 714 to 982 of the family's 1478-position model. The record is from RNAcentral.
AGACGUCUACAUUAGAUACCCCCGUAGUCCCAGCCGUAAACUAUGCGCGUUAGGUGUAUCGGUGACCACGAGUCACCGAGGUGCCGAAGGGAAACCGUGAAACGUGCCGCCUGGGAAGUACGGUCGCAAGGCUGAAACUUAAAGGAAUUGGCGGGGAGCACCACAACGGGUGGAGCCUGCGGUUUAAUUGGACUCAACGCCGGGAAGCUCACCGGAUAAGACAGCGGAAUGAUUGCCGGGCUGAAGACUCUGCAUGACUAGCUG